CCUACGGGGGGCAGCAGUGAGGAAUAUUGGUCAAUGGACGAGAGUCUGAACCAGCCAAGUAGCGUGAAGGAUGACUGCCCUAUGGGUUGUAAACUUCUUUUAUAUGGGAAUAAAAUGUUCCACGUGUGGGAUUUUGUAUGUACCAUAUGAAUAAGGAUCGGCUAACUCCGUGCCAGCAGCCGCGGUAAUACGGAGGAUCCGAGCGUUAUCCGGAUUUAUUGGGUUUAAAGGGAGCGUAGGUGGAUUGUUAAGUCAGUUGUGAAAUUUUGCGGCUCAACCGUAAAAUUGCAGUUGAAACUGGCAGUCUUGAGUACAGUAGAGGUGGGCGGAAUUCGUGGUGUAGCGGUGAAAUGCUUAGAUAUCACGAAGAACUCCGAUUGCGAAGGCAGCUCACUGGACUGCAACUGACACUGAGGCUCGAAAGUGUGGGUAUCAAACAGGAUUAGAUACCCCUGUAGUC
Molecule: ribosomal RNA, 460 nt
Filed under: uncultured bacterium
Lineage: Bacteria
Description: partial 16S ribosomal RNA
Rfam family: Bacterial small subunit ribosomal RNA
Source: RNAcentral